UGCUCCAUGACAGUCAUAGCUUGCAUAUUUUCCUUUCUCGACGGUGAAAGGAAGAGAUAGAGCGAAGACUGCCAUUCCUAUUUCUUUUGGGGUGUUGGAGUUCUUCCUAGUGUGAAAUCCUCGAGGGUUUUGAUGGAGUUUC
This is a long non-coding RNA of Telopea speciosissima, 142 nucleotides long. RefSeq lists it as uncharacterized. The transcript is spliced from 3 exons. The record is from RefSeq and is a predicted model, not a curated record. NCBI's taxonomy places the organism in Eukaryota, Viridiplantae, Streptophyta, Magnoliopsida, Proteales, Proteaceae.